CAUUAAGAAGCUUAUUCUAAAGCGUUAACCUUUUAAGUUAAAGAUUGGAAGUACCAACCUCCCCUUAAUGA
Non-coding RNA from Pteropus alecto (black flying fox), 71 nucleotides. The record is from the annotation of a RefSeq genome assembly. Lineage: Eukaryota; Metazoa; Chordata; Mammalia; Chiroptera; Pteropodidae.